Long non-coding RNA from Diabrotica virgifera virgifera (western corn rootworm), 7317 nucleotides. RefSeq lists it as uncharacterized. Lineage: Eukaryota; Metazoa; Arthropoda; Insecta; Coleoptera; Chrysomelidae. The record is from RefSeq and is a predicted model, not a curated record. The transcript has 2 exons.
CUACUAAUGUUUUUUAGUUAACCUUGAAUAUAUGAAAUAGUUGGUUCAUUGUUAAAUGUUCUUAGCCAGUCCCUUAGGUGAAGGAUGUAGAUUAUUUCGAUCUUUAUAUUAUCUUUAUAUCGAUCUUUAUAUUAAUGGGGUUUUUGGUUUUACAUAACCAAACAUUUUUGAAGUCCUCAAAUUAAUAUUGGAAAUAAUUACCAUUUCUCUGUACGUUUUAAACCGAUUGAACAUCCAAUAUAUCUAUAAAUUUUCAUGUCCAAUAUAUCUAUAAAUUGUCAUGUAACUAUCUUUGUCUGGUUCAAUACCAUUUCAUUAAGGUAUAUAAAAUGUAUGUAGAUGGCUAUUACUAUCUUAAUCUCAUGUUAUUUCAGAUAAGUCAUAUUUUAUAUUCCUAUUUCAAAUGCAAUGCCAUUAUUUGUUCAUGUUUUCAAACUCAAAAUAGUUCAAGGUUACCUGAGAUUAGUUUUUGUUCCAUUUUUAAUGGUUGUUUUUUUUUAUGUUAUUGCUUCUAAAAAGUUUUCCUCGAUUAUUUCUUCUUCUCUUUACUUUUGUUUACCGGUUUAUAUGAGAAAUCAAACGAAGUAUAUGUUUUUAGCCAUUUGGAAGAAAACUAACCCUCAUGUGAUGUCGUACCCACCUUGACUACCUAGGGAAGCCACCUGGACCUUAUUGCAGCUACCGCCAAGUCAAACUGGGAGUAUGUUUUGGGAACAAGCUUUUUGGGGGACAUUCCAGCUCCUUUUCGUCCUGCCACCUGGGCCUACGGGGGGGGCAUGGAGGUGCAUCAUAGUGAUGCUCAUUUUCUAGGAUGCAACCGCAACCUCGUUUGGGAACAUUUAGUGAGGAGUUUUAGUAACUAUUGGUUUUUUUAUAUUUCAGACUAUCUGUUAAAUACACUAUGUUUUUUUUCCAGAUUUAGGUUACCUCUGUUUUUUUUGACAUAUGUAUUUGUAUAUUAGAUUAUUUGGUUCCCAAACUUUGUAUCUACGGUAACUUCUUGUGCACAGGAAUAAGCCUAGAGAAAAUUAGGUUUUUAAUACUUUAUUAUUGCUUUGAUAUUGGUUUAUGUAAUUCGGGUAAAUUUAUUUUGUAACAUUACUUGCUUGUUUCCCAAAUAUUGUAUUUAUUCGCUUUAUUUCGUUUGUUCGGUUACUUCGUCGUUACUUUAUUUCAUUGCAUUUGCUCGGUUAAUUUAGGUCAUUUUGUCGGUAUUUUUCUUAACUUCACUUCUAUAACGUUUAUUCAUUUGUAUAUUUAAUUUUGCUUUAUUCAGUAUUGUAUUUUCUCUUAGUGAGGCUUGGGCCUAUUUAUUUGUAUUAUUUUCAUCUUCGUCGGUUUCCUUUAGUUGUACGUAGCAGGCGUACUAUAACCAUUUGGUAGAAGACUUAUGUAAUUUUGUACCCUAUAUGUAAGUAAGAGGUACUAAUACCUGUAAUUUUGUAACAGAUAACAUUAUUGUUGUUAUCUUAGAGAUGACUUUUUGUAUAACUUAUGUCAUUUUAGAGUCACAUGAUAUACACUUUGUGUAACUCAGAGAUUGUCAAAAAUCUAGUAGUUAUUUUUAAUAAAUAUGUAUUUAUUUUGUAUAUCAAUUAUUUUAUUAUUCCUUUAUGUUCAUUAUUACAGGUUUAAUAUAUUUAAUAUUGGAAAGCAGUGUAAGAUACCUGGGAAAAUGAUCGAAGAUCAUUUUCAUGGCGCCCAUGAUUAGUUAGUUUUAUUUAUUUUGUUCGUUUUUAGUCAUUAUUCAUCUCCAUUCAUUUUCAGUACAUUAUUCUUAUUUUAUUAUUUCAUCUUUUAGUCAUCAUUACUAUCUAUAUAGAGCUACUGUUCUUCGACAGGCAUGCAAACGAGCCGUAUCCAUCCUUGAGUGUCAAGUUGCUCUCUUGCAUCUAUAGCUAGCCAACUCUAUUCAGUUUGCCUCUGUCUCUUCCCACUUUACUUCUAUCCCUUAUAAUCCCCCUUUCUUCAGUACAACUGCAAAGUAGUAUUUUUUUUUAUUUUUUCCUAUUGCGGCUUCUCAACGUAGAAGCCACUUCACCCUUUUCUUACACAGCCCAUCUCUCUCUACAUCUAUGCACCAUUAGUUAUUUAUUUAUUUUUUACUUACUUCUGUUGGAGUAUAUCUAUCUUUUUACUUUCACUCCAACAGAAGUUUUCUUUUCAUUUUGUUACACUGGCUGCCCAAUGCGUGGUGCCAACCGUUUUUGGUUCUAAGACAGUAGUUCUUUUAGUUCAUUUUUAUUUUAUUGGAAUUUUCUGUAUUAUUACCUUUUUAAUAUCGUUGUAUACAUGUUACUUCUGAUUUAUUUUUGUCUUAAAUUUUAUUAAUACUAAACAGGUAGACUUAUACUGCUUUUCUUUGUUUUUGAUUAGUUUAUUUUCGAUACCUCAUUUUUAGUUUUAGUGGUACAGCUCAUAUUUUAGUUUGAAUUUUGUAUUUUUAUUGGAAACUUAUUUGUGUAUUUAGAAUGAGUAUACAUGACUGACAUUAUGUUCUAUUAUUAUGGAUUUUUAGUCCUUCUACCAAUGGUAGUAUGUUUGCACGUACAAUUAAUUAUUGACUAUAUGCAUAUAUUUUUUUUUCUAGUGUGGUUAUAUUUUACACCUAACUAGAAAUUAUUUUCAGUAUUUAGGUAUUUUAUUUACUUUAUUGAUUUGAUUAUUUAUAUAUUUUGCUGGCAUUUUUGAUUUGUUGGUGUGUCGCUAAUAUUUUCUCCAUAUGUAUCUUUGUCUUACAAACUUUAGAUUAUAUUUUAUAUUUGUUAUUUUUGAUAUUUGGGUUGUUUGGUAAGACAGGCCCACACCACAAAGCAAUAUCAGUCCAGACAUUAGUUUCUAUACAUGAUACGUUGAAUUCGCAUGGUUCAGAUGGUUACAGAUGGUCAUCCAAACUAUUUUUCUUUAAUUGGUAGUGUUAAACAUAACAAUUAUAAUUAUUGUAUAGUAAAGUAGUUCCAUUAUCCAUCUCAGUUUCUAGUUUUAUUAUUGUUGAUAAUAAUAUUAUAUCAAUGUGGGUACCAUAAUAUAAUGCUCAUAGAAAUCAGAUACUUUAGGUUGAGAUUUAAACAUAAAUCUUUUAUUAGUUAGAAACAUUGGUACUUUAUCUAUUAAGUUUAGAACAAUCCUCAGAAGAAGAUUAACUUAACGGUGUCGUUCAAGCUAAUCUCUUCUUCUGUUUGUCUUUAGCUUAGCUCAAUCGUUAGUAUGGUUAGAAAUUUUAGUCUGAUUUUUUUUUACCAUCUGAUAAUGCAGGUACCUACAUACAUUGCUUGAUUUCAUCUUUGGCUUUGUUGUUGAUGACUUUAUUUAUGAAUUUAUUACUUAUUGGUUUAAGUAUUAUGUAGUACUUUAUGUAUGAGUUUAUUUUUUUUUUUUUGGUAUUAUACAUGAUGCAUUUUAAUUAUUAUUAUGAGUCAAUAUUAUUAAUUGCUAAUCCUGUCAGUAGGAUUAUCCAAUUAAUAAAAACUUCACUUGUAUUUUUGUCUAGUUUUUGCACACCUAACCCUAAGUUAGAAGAGUUGUUGAUUAUUAUGAUAUUUAGGUAUAUAUUGGGAUAGGUAAGCUCAUACAAGUACUCUUGUUUAAUAAUGGAUAUUAUGAUGGAACUAUGUUAACUACCAUAUCUCAGGUUAUAUCAUUUUGAAUAUUUGAUUACUUACUAAUUUUUUAUUAUUUUUAUAUCUUGUUAUUGGAUUUGCCAUUUUGGAAAGAUGGUGUAUUUUUUAAUUUGUUAUUAGGUUACUCUAUUGACAUUUGUCUCCAAUAUCUUAAACACUUUAUAAUAAUUUAUAUCCUUCUAUCCUACACAGUAUGAUUCUGGAAUUAGUUUGGAAUUUUGAUGUAAGUAUGUAUGAAUUCUUGAGUCUUCCAUAUUUCUACUUAUGAAUUAGUCUGUUGAUACUCUGAUUUGUGAAUGCGUGGGUUCGAAGUUGUUGUUCGGUAACUGGCCAGUGCUGUUCGAUUAAAUUUCGUAAUCUAUGUCUUUCAUGGCUGAGUAUGCAGAUGUUUAUUUAUCAUAAUAUUUCUGGUCAGGAAAUGUCUGCAACAGGUCCUAAUCAUUCUAGUGUUAGUCCAAUUAUUCCAGUUACAUUUUUACCCUUUGAUAGGGAAGUGUUUAGUUGAUAUUACGUCUCGUACUUCAUAGUAUGUCUGUUUGUUGACUAUCCCUAUACAUCGUAGAUCCCUUAAUUUAGUAUUUGAGGUGUUUAGACAAAUGAGUUGUUCAUUUGAGUAUAUUCCCACUUCUUUCCUUAGGCAUUAGUUUUGUUAUUUAGAUUUUUGAACAUUUCCUGAAUAAUUCCACGUAUGUGAGAGCGCAUGAAUCUGCAGUUUUAAUUAAAAUUGGUUGCCCGUUCUCGUCAAUUUUUUUUUCCUAUCACCUAUCACAUAUUUUUUUUCCUAUCACUUAUCAUAGUGUCAUAAAACUUAUGAGUUCAUCAUUUAUUCUUUUUCUUUCUUACUUAUUCUUACAUUAUUAGUACCUUAUCUGAGUCUGGUUAUUCUCAUACAUCUGUUGUAGCAACAUGCUAUAGUUCGCGAAUACCAGCAUGAAUUAAGUUAUGUAUUUUCUAGAAUACUUUAGUCAAUACACUUUAGGUAUUUAUCUUACCUUUGAUUUAGUUUGGUUACAUCUCUGUUACUUAGUCUGUUAGUAAUUUUUUUCUGACUUAUUUUGGAUUACUUAGUUCAGAUAGGUUCAUAUUACCGGAUGAGGGUGUAUGUAGACCUAAUUUAUUUAUUUUGUUCAGUAUUAGUUACCAUUGGAUCCAAUAAUUUAGUUUAUGUAGUAUUAGUAAGGAUUGGUCCAUAAAUUUGCCUGAUCGUUCUUCUUUGGAUAUACUCCUAUAUAAAUCUGGUGUCCAUUGAUAGUCCGAUUCUGGAUAAGUGUCUGAUUCUUCAUUUAUUUUGUGUAUUUAGUUGGAUAGGUUCGUAUUACCGGAUGUGGGUGUACGUAGACCUGAUCUGUUAUGUGGUUUAGUAUUGGUGUGAAUUGGUCCAUAAAUUAAAUUGGUUCUUCUUUGGAUAUACUCCUAUAUAAAUCUGGUGUCCAUUGAUAGUCCGAUUCUGGAUAAGUGUCUGAUUCUUCAUUUAUUUUGUGUAUUUAGUUGGAUAGGUUCGUAUUACCGGAUGUGGGUGUACGUAGACCUGAUCUGUUAUGUGGUUUAGUAUUGGUGUGAAUUGGUCCAUAAAUUUGCCUGGUCGUUCUUCUUUGGAUAUGCCUUUUAUGAAUCUGGUGUCCACUGAUAGUUCGACUUUGGAUUAAGUGUCCGAUUCCACAUUUAUUUUGGUUAUUGAGUUUUGGAUUCCUUUGGUAUGUUUAUUAUUGGUAUUAUUUGACAUUAGUGAGAAUUGUUCCAUAAAUCUUCCUGAUUGUUCUUCUCUGGAUAUACUAUUAUGAAUCUGGUGUCCAUUGUUAGUUCAGUUUUGGAUAAAGUGUUCAAUUCUUUACCUAUUUUAGUUACUGAUUUUUUUUAUUCACUUUGGUACAUUUACUUUUGAUAUGGUUCGAAUUGGCUCACACCUUUUCCUGGUUGUUCCGUUCUUGGAUAUACCCUUUAUAAAUCUGAUGUCCAUGGAUAGUUCAAUUUUGGUUUUAGUGCCCAAUUCGACACUCAGUUAUUAUUAUGAACUUAAGUACAAUAUUUAGUUUUGUUUUGACUUUUGAGCAAUAUAUGUUAAUAUUUGGUAACAGAGAGUAACAUAGUAACAUUUUAGUAUGAGUUUGAGUCAUGUAUUGAUUUAUUUUUCCUUGACCAUUAGUUUAUAUUUAGAAGUAAUCUUGCGAAUCAACGUGGAUUGUUAGACUAUUGUAAAUUUAGUUGUUAAUAUUUUGAAGUUAAAAAAAAAAAAAUUUUUUUUGGUUAAAAAUUUUUUUUUUCCCGAGUAGGAGGGGAUUGUAACGGUCCACCCGUUAUAUUAUCAUUUUUAGCGCUGUAAUUAUUUUUAAAAAAAUAAUUAUUUUCUCUUGACCUCCCAUUUAAAUUCUUUAAUUUAUCGUAAAGGACUUCUCAUGUGACGUCACACUGUACGGAACAUAGUUGUUGAACCGUUCCUUGUCGUUUAAUUCGUGUUCCGUGAGAGUUUGACGUUUUCCUCGCUGACUGUGGGAGGAAUGAGAGGCACUUGGCCGGUGGCUGCGAGGUUGACAGGUUGGUGUUGGUGGUUAGUACCGUAAAUGGCGGUUAAUUUCUUCGAAAUUAAUUUUUAUUUCAACUAAGUUUGGAAGUAUAGUAAAAAGUUACCACCACUUGUUUCCUGGAGUACGGGUUUCCUGGAGUAAGGAUGGGAGUACCAUCAGUGGAAGAGGAAUAAAAAAUUAACCGCCAUUUGGAAGAAAACUAACCCUCAUGUGAUGUCGUACCCACCUUGACUACCUAGGGAAGCCACCUGGACCUUAUUGCAGCUACCGCCAAGUCAAACUGGGAGUAUGUUUUGGGAACAAGCUUUUUGGGGGACAUUCCAGCUCCUUUUCGUCCUGCCACCUGGGCCUACGGGGGGGGCAUGGAGGUGCAUCAUAGUGAUGCUCAUUUUCUAGGAUGCAACCGCAACCUCGUUUGGGAACAUUUAGUGAGGAGUUUUAGUAACUAUUGGUUUUUUUAUAUUUCAGACUAUCUGUUAAAUACACUAUGUUUUUUUUCCAGAUUUAGGUUACCUCUGUUUUUUUUGACAUAUGUAUUUGUAUAUUAGAUUAUUUGGUUCCCAAACUUUGUAUCUACGGUAACUUCUUGUGCACAGGAAUAAGCCUAGAGAAAAUUAGGUUUUUAAUACUUUAUUAUUGCUUUGAUAUUGGUUUAUGUAAUUCGGGUAAAUUUAUUUUGUAACAUUACUUGCUUGUUUCCCAAAUAUUGUAUUUAUUCGCUUUAUUUCGUUUGUUCGGUUACUUCGUCGUUACUUUAUUUCAUUGCAUUUGCUCGGUUAAUUUAGGUCAUUUUGUCGGUAUUUUUCUUAACUUCACUUCUAUAACGUUUAUUCAUUUGUAUAUUUAAUUUUGCUUUAUUCAGUAUUGUAUUUUCUCUUAGUGAGGCUUGGGCCUAUUUAUUUGUAUUAUUUUCAUCUUCGUCGGUUUCCUUUAGUUGUACGUAGCAGGCGUACUAUAACCAUUUGGUAGAAGACUUAUGUAAUUUUGUACCCUAUAUGUAAGUAAGAGGUACUAAUACCUGUAAUUUUGUAACAGAUAACAUUAUUGUUGUUAUCUUAGAGAUGACUUUUUGUAUAACUUAUGUCAUUUUAGAGUCACAUGAUAUACACUUUGUGUAACUCAGAGAUUGUCAAAAAUCUAGUAGUUAUUUUUAAUAAAUAUGUAUUUAUUUUGUA